RNAcentral lists this ribosomal RNA (628 nucleotides) under uncultured bacterium. RNAcentral's name for it is "bacterial SSU rRNA". The stretch from base 1 to 535 matches the Rfam family "Bacterial small subunit ribosomal RNA", at positions 338 to 873 of the family's 1533-position model. The record is from RNAcentral.
CCUACGGGAGGCAGCAGUAGGGAAUAUUGGGCAAUGGACGCAAGUCUGACCCAGCCAUGCCGCGUGCAGGAAGAAGGCGUUAUGCGUUGUAAACUGCUUUUAUACAGGAAGAAACGACUCUUGCGAGAGGCAUUGACGGUACUGUAUGAAUAAGCACCGGCUAACUCCGUGCCAGCAGCCGCGGUAAUACGGAGGGUGCAAGCGUUGUCCGGAUUUAUUGGGUUUAAAGGGUGCGCAGGUGGUUUAUUAAGUCAGUGGUGAAAGACGGUCGCUCAACGAUUGCAGUGCCAUUGAAACUGGUAGACUUGAGUAAAGUAGAGGUGGGCGGAAUUGAUAGUGUAGCGGUGAAAUGCAUAGAUAUUAUCAAGAACUCCAAUUGCGAAGGCAGCUCACUUGGCUUUUACUGACACUCAUGCACGAAAGUGUGGGUAUCAAACAGGAUUAGAUACCCUGGUAGUCCACACUGUAAACGAUGAUAACUAGGUGUCGGCCGAAUCUGGUCGGUGCCACAGCGAAAGCGUUAAGUUAUCCCACCGUCGGGAGGUACGCCGGCCGACGGUAGUAAACGUUAAAGGUAAAGUUAGUACGGACGUGAGACGUUGCCGACGGACGACGACGAGGGAGGAGG